UGAGUUGCUACGGUGCAAUUGCAAUUCUUAAACUAUACACGCUUCCAGAAAGUACACUCCCCUUGAACCGCGAAUUCUUUGGCCACAACCUUGAGUUGAUUUUCUCGAAGCGAAGAUAUCGUCGAUCUUCGAGAGAGGUCAUGGCUUAUCGCAGCUUCCCUAUCUUUGCAACAUUACACAAAUAUAUUUCUGAUAACUACGUCUCGCGGAUGAAGACUGUCAAAGUCAAGUUUACUUGAGAAAUUGAUUUAAUCAAGAGAAUUUGAUCCAGUUUGUAAAAUCUGUAAUUUUCUUAUCAUUCAUUGUCUUUGGAACUUUGUUAAACAUGAUUUUUAGAAAAAGAGAAAAAAGGAGUGCUUUAUUCUCAAUCGCUCGAAAGUUAUUGAUGCUUUGAUAUUUUUUUUAAACAAAAAGGUUGAGUCAAAGUUAUAAGGAUGGGCAGUUCAAAGGAACCGCAUUGGGUCCAUGACUACAAUAUGGAUUUUCUAGGCCAGUACAGUAGAGUCGAUGAAGAUGUCGGAGCGGCUACUGCAGGAGCGAGGGUGAUACAGGAUGAGAAGCUGGCGAGCAUGCGCCAUCAUUCAUGAUUCCUCUUCGCUGCUCUUUCACGCAUCCACGAUAGCAGGGAAACAUUAUUCCGAUAUAUACUGAUCGAAAUUGGCAAUAUCGUUCGAAAUCGAUCCUGUGUUCCCCUCACGUGCAAAAAUCGUAUAAAAACGUUUUAAAAUAUUAUAAGCUCAAAAGCUUCAUGUUCUCUAUUUCCUUACACUCUUAUUCAUUCUCCCUCUGUUUAUAUCACAAAUACCGAUAAGACUAAACUGUAAAAUAUUAGGCGCGCAAAUUAAUUCGGUAUUUGUUUUGCAGAAAUUGAGCCUUUUUUACAAAACAAUAAUAAGCGUGUCAAUCUUCGAAAUAGUUGCUAUUAUUUUCUAACACUUUUCCCUAUCUAUCGGACAGCUGAUGAAUCCUCACUCGAAAAAAGAAAGUAAACGAAAGCUCAAUUUAAAAAAAAAAGAAGCAUUGAAUUAAUUUGCACGCCUAAUAUGUUAAAAAUAAAUUGAAACUACUCUGUAAAGAAUGAAGGGAGUGGAAAGUUUAGCAGAAAUUUAAUCAGUGUAAAUAGUAAUGAAGACUAGUACAGCUGGUCCUAAGUUGACGCCAAAUUACAAAUAAUCUCUAUAAUACAUAUAUACAUCGAUUCAGAAUCGUUUAGAAUUGUUUCUAGUGCGUUUUUUUCGUUUACAGUUUAACAAAAAAAUUUUUGAAAAAAUGGUUUACAACCGACUAAAAGACAAAUUUCGAUGACAUACAUCAAUUCAGAAUCAUUUGUAUUCGUGCAUAGUGCUUUUAUAUCUGCUUGCAGUUUAAUAAAACAAAAACUUAUAACAUUUUGAAGAAAUGGUUGACAACCGACUGCGAGAUAAGGAAAUUUCGAUGAUAUGUAUAUACA
Ooceraea biroi (clonal raider ant) is the source of this 1450-nucleotide long non-coding RNA. RefSeq lists it as uncharacterized. Lineage: Eukaryota; Metazoa; Arthropoda; Insecta; Hymenoptera; Formicidae. The record is from RefSeq and is a predicted model, not a curated record.